Long non-coding RNA from Haliotis rubra (blacklip abalone), 202 nucleotides. RefSeq lists it as uncharacterized. The transcript has 4 exons. Lineage: Eukaryota; Metazoa; Mollusca; Gastropoda; Lepetellida; Haliotidae. The record is from RefSeq and is a predicted model, not a curated record.
UCAGUUUAAUGGCAAUAAUAACUGAAGAAGGCCCUGUAAAAAAUAAAUACAUUGUAUCAAAAUACGCUACAAUACUUCAUGGGCCAAUACAUGUGAGGCUUAGCAAUAAGUACUACGAUCAUAUAUAAGCAAUACAAUCAUUAAUGAUUAACCAGGUCACAGAGCAGACGUGUGUAUAUUGGUCAUAUUCAAAGUUGGUAGG